AUAAACCGCUUAUCCCACAGAUUUUGCUGCAGGCCUGCAAUAUCCUCGAAUAUCCACGUCGGAACAUGGUGGAAUAGGUACACGAUCGUCUCGGUUUUGAUCCUAGGGUUCUCCAUUCCGUCCUGUGAUCGUUUCGAUUUUCGCCUUUCUCCAUGAGCGAGUCGAGUAGUUGGCCGGAUGCAUCGGAAGUUGGGUAUUCUUCCAAUAAUCAGAUGCCGAUUCUACUUUCGUCGAACAACAAGGGUGAGGGUUUCGAUGAAUUUAGCACUGUCGUGCAGGAAUCCUAUCCGCUACAGAGCACUGCGUCGGGCCCGGCUGGUGGGGAGAAAUAUUGUUCAUUAGAGGCUGACAGUGUUGGAAGUGAUGCCCAGCCUCUGCCGGCUCAUGUAAAUGACUCCUUACUGAAUGCGAUUGAGGAAGGAGUUAAUUUUCCAGAAACUCCUCUGUUGAAGGCAGCUGAAAUAAUAGGCGAUGCAGGGCACGAAGUUUCUGUAUGUGAAGUUGCUCGAAAGGAAGGUUAUGUGGAGUCAUUAGGAUGCGAUCAAGAAGCCUGUGUUUCCGAGAGUUCUGCCACAAGAGAUGCUACUUCAGAAGUUGCUGUUAAUGGUUCCGUGGAGUCUCCGUCUGUAGUGUCCGCAAACUGUGGGGCGAAGAGGGUAGGUGGCGUUCUUGCUAUGGCAAUGAGGAAAUAUGCUGUACCCAAGUCUUCAUGCUACCAUGGAGUCACUAGGUUGAAAUGGAGUGGGAAGUACGAAGCACACCUAUGGGAUAAAACCAGUCGAGUAGAAGGAAGUAGACGGAAGGGGAAGCAUGUUUAUUUAGGCAGCUAUGAGUCUGAGGAGAAGGCAGCUAGGGCACAUGAUCUUGCUGUUCUGAAAUAUUGGGGUUUAAGCCAAACCACGAAGCUAAAUUUUCCUGUCUCUGAUUAUGAGGACGAACUUGAGAUUAUGAAAACAAUGACUCAGGAUGAGUAUGUCGCUCAUGUAAAAAGGAAAAAUAGUUGUUUCUCGAGAGGUGCUUCUGCUUUCAGGGGGGUGACACGACGGAAAGAUGGGAAGUGGCAGGCGCGAAUUGGUAGGGUGGGUGAGAGCAGAGAUGUCAAGGACAUAUAUCUAGGAACUUUUGGCACAGAGGAAGAAGCUGCUGAGGCCUAUGAUAUUGCAGCAAUUGAGCUGCGAGGUGUGCAUGCUGUUACCAAUUUUGAUAUUAGCAACUACUGUGAGGGAUCUUUUAAGAGAAUGGAGGGACCGCCUUGCAAGCUACAGACAUAGUUCCUUCCAUCGGAGUCUGUGGGAUUGACGACAACAAAAUGAUGUAUUGUUUAUUUUACUGCAAGCCUGCAUGUGUGUGAAGCUUUUGAACUUCAGUGAGACUGAUCUUUGUCCUCCGAGGGAUGAUGACUUCUUCUUCAGAACUUGGAUUCUCCAUCAGAUCCUUCAAAAAAAAGGUAGGGAUGGUUGCUUCUUUAUUUUGACGUCCUAUCUGCCUGUAAGGUCAUGCUAGGCUUUUUGAGAAUGAAUUCUUGAUCAAGAACAGAGAGAGGAGCUAGACAAAAGUUAGUGCCUAUACUU
Molecule: RNA transcript, 1571 nt
Organism: Phalaenopsis equestris
Lineage: Eukaryota; Viridiplantae; Streptophyta; Magnoliopsida; Asparagales; Orchidaceae
Gene name: AP2-like ethylene-responsive transcription factor PLT2
Exons: 9
Source: RefSeq, a predicted model, not a curated record